Molecule: long non-coding RNA, 1252 nt
Organism: Calliphora vicina (urban bluebottle blowfly)
Lineage: Eukaryota; Metazoa; Arthropoda; Insecta; Diptera; Calliphoridae
Exons: 3
Source: RefSeq, a predicted model, not a curated record
UAUGAGAAUGUUUUUAUGGUUGUUGUUGUUUCUAAAGCAUCCGUUUAUAAGCGCCUUCCGGUACGUUUCCUUCGUUUUAUGAUUUUUUUUAUACGACGCUGUACGUUUGUUUGCCAAUGUGUGCAUGCGUUCGUUCGUGCGUAAUUGUGUGCGUAAUAUAUAACGGCAAAAUUUUAUAGCGAAAUUUAUAUUUAGCAUUUUGAAGCUGCCCUCAUCAGCCACCAACUUUUAACUGUAAAUUUCAAUCAAAACAAAUGCACAUAAAGUGCAAUUUUUAUGCACAUGUAGUAAGAAUGUGUCUGUAACAUUUUCUUCUUGAAUUUCUGCCGAGUUUGGCAGUCGCUGAUGCAGCAUGCAUAGAAGAAGCAACAGCCAAGAACACCCUUCCAUUAUAAAAAGUGCAAACACUACAUGUUCGAAAUAAUAAAAAAGAAUAAUAAAAUAAGUGAAUUUUUUGUAGACAAAAAAAAAGGAAAAAAAUAAAAAAAAAAUCAUCCAAAGAAGAAAAUCUGCUGCCAUUUGUUGGGGUUUAUGCAAGUACAUAUGUAGUAUAUACAAUGAUUUUGUAUGUGAUGUGAGUGUUCGUGUAAGUUUCUGAAUAUUUUUGAUCGCACAACAUGUGAAUUGUAUAAAAAUAUAAAAAUUAUUUUUAAAAGUGAAAAGAAAGCAAUAAAAUACAAGAACAAAUUUAAAUUCAAGUGUAUGCCACAUGUGAGGAUUUCGAAUUUAUUAAACGAAACAGAAAAGAAGUUUUAAAAAUAGAGAAAACAGAAAAAAAUACAAAAUACAGAAAAUAAAAUUCCUAAGAAAAAAGAAAAUUGCAACCCCUGCGCAACUGUAUUCAAUUAAAAAGUGAUUUUUUUCGCGAUUUUAUCUUCAUCAACAUCUACUUCACUUUAAUUUUGUUUAAUCUUCUUGCAAAUUUUAUUUGGAUUAUCUUACUUUAGCACUUAGUCACUUUUGACUAAAGCUGCUAAAACUAUUAGCAGUCUGUGUGGUUUAUUUAAUAUUGUCGUCCCCGGGCUAUAGCCAGCAUUUAUCAGAUCUUUUGCAUUAUACAUGGGGAAUAAUAUUACAGUGGUUAAAUGCAAAUUUAGGUGACUACACAUAAUGAUUCAGAGGUGUUGAUGAAAGUUUAUUCACAAACAUCCUGCCUCCUCAGUUCAGGUAAGUCCACACAGUCUUAUAGAAUUUAUUGUUUAAAAUUGUUUCUAUUUUAAUGAUUUCAUUAUGAAUGUUUUCGUAUUGUGCC